RNAcentral lists this non-coding RNA (28 nucleotides) under Rattus norvegicus (Norway rat). The record is from RNAcentral. Lineage: Eukaryota; Metazoa; Chordata; Mammalia; Rodentia; Muridae.
UAGAGGUUGGCAUAGUUUCUACCUGAAA